AUUUCCUUUUAAAACCCAACCAAAAAACUAGCCCAGACCCGCAUGACCCGACUCGACCCAUUUUACCCCUCUCACACCUAAAACCCUAAUCCCCUUCCCCAUUUAAUGGGGACAAAAUGGGAUCCUAGACUAGAAGAGAACAAGGUGCUGCGCAGCUUUUACAAGAGACCUCUCUCACGUCCUCUUCUUCAUCAGCCGCUACAGUGCAAAACCGACCCCAACCCGUCGACCAGACCUAGAUCAAUUUCAUCUUCUACACGAGGGCUUGAGCUGAACGACACACACAGAUAAAUAUAAGCCAUCUUCUCCAUGCCUCAUCUCCGUCUAUCGACCACCCCUAUACCGUCAACGUAGCUUCACCAGUAACCCACAGCUACGACCAACGAACAGAACCAAUUGCAGAAACCAAACGACCCUUUUGUUCGAGUUUCAUUCACACACACACACACAGCGUUCCUGAUUUCAAUUUUGGGGUGCGAUUGCUACGUAAUCGAAGUUUCUAUUCGAUGUGUAGUUUGUUGUUCCGAUCUGAGAUUCUGGUUCGAUUUUGCCCAUUCAUUUGAAGUUGUGUUGAUUUCUGGUUGUAACUGUGACCCCGUUUCAGUCUAUGUAAUUGCCACGAUUUAAUUAAUCAGAAAUCGUUGCUCUGUUUGUUUGGGGUUCAUCUUCAACGUCAACACCUUUAUUUGGGUUCUAUUCUGUUAUUGUUCUUCUCGUAGCCAGUUAUUGUUACUGCGAAACACCGCUGCUGUUUUUAAGCAUCUUAGAAAGCUCACUUUGAAAAAUAGUAGUUAAUUCGCGAUGCAUUGCAUCUACCCAAUAAUUCAAUGAUCAUCAAGAUGAUUCAAUUUGAGUCAGAAAAUUAAAGGUUUCGUUCCAGGUUCUGUCCGUCGUUCUCUGUUCGUUUUCAGAUCUGUUCGGAGCCAACUUGUUGUAAGUCAUUCGGAUAAUGGUUACAUCUCCUUUCAUUAUUCUCUGUGACACUUUAGACCUUACAUCGGGUGUAUGAUAAUACAAUGACUGUUUAUGUUGUCUUUUCUGCUGAAAUGAGAUUCAUGGCCACUACAAUGACUGUUUAUGUCGUCUAUUCUAUUGAAAAUGAGAGUCAUAGCUGUUUGUUGCAUUUUGAAAUUGCAAAGUAUGACCUUUCCUUCAAAAUAUGUAUUUGAACUCUCUGAAAGGAUAAGUCUUAAUAAUGAAGACUUACUACUUAACUCAAAGAAACUGUCAUCCGUUUUUUAGAAGAAACUUUUCUUAUACCAAUAAUUAGGCGAAUUUGGUGUUAUAGUUGGAUAUUCAAGGUUUGAAGCUAGUGCGUUUUGGAGUGUCAUUGAUUAAUAAUGUGAUAUGAUCCGUUGUUUGUGUAGUUACUUUCAUAGUUUUGAAUUUGCUCAUUUAGUUAUCUAUUCAUAUGCUUGCUCGAAUUGGUUAUAGCUGAACAUGAUUUUGUUAUGGUAUAGAAAUUGGGUUGCUAUUAAUCAACUGAGCUAUGUAAUUAGAUUAAAGGAACCGGGGGUGCACUUUAUGUGACGUGGCUUAUGAUAUGUUUUAAAUAACCUUGAAUUUUUCUUAAAUAAAAAAACACUUUGAAAGUUUACGAUCCUCCAAAUGUAGUUCUCUUUUAAAUUAUAAUUAGGGCGCGCAUGCCAAACAGAAAUUAAUAUUGCAUGGCCCUUGUUUUAAUUAAGCUUGAUUUAAUACUUAGAACUUGGGACGAGCCAUUUAUCGAACUUUUCCGGCCUCCCGCAAAGUUAAUAACAUAUUAGUCGCUUUAGGAUUGUUCAUAAAUAAUCUUACCUUCUUAAAUUCAGGUGCGCAUUUAUGUGACCCAAAUCCAAAUCUCAACGAUAUUAAAAUAUGUCAAAAAUCACUUGAGGAUUUAUAUGACGUGGUCCGCGACGUAUUUUGAUAGCGUUGCAAUUCUCUUCCUAAUAACCAUAAUAAAAGCGGCUAAAAGUUAAAAUUUGCACAUAGGUUCAUAAUUAUUUAAAAUCAGAUAAUUUAAGCCCAACAUGACAAUUGAGUGACCGUGCUAGAACAACGGAACCAGGGAAGGCCUAAUACCUUCUCCCAGGCUAACAGAAUUCCUUACUCGAAUUUCUGGUUCGCGGACUGUUAAAUAAAGUCAUUCUUUUCCUUGAUUCGGGAUUCUAAACCGGUGACUUGGGACACCAUAAAUCUCCCUUGUGGCGACUCUGAAUCUCUUAAAUAAAUAAAUCUCAUUUCGAUUGUCCUUAAUUUUGAAGAACUCCCUAUCUGUGCCCUUCGCCAGGCGUAGUUGUUAAAAAAGGAGGUGUGACAGCUCUGGCGACUCUGCUGGGGAUCGAACCCAGAAUCUCCGGUUUCGCAGGGUUCAAGAAUUCAAUCUUAGAAUAAUUGUUGUAUUUGGCUUUGUUUAUUAUCUGAUUUAAUUUUAUUUUUACAUGUUGACUUAAUGUGCAAAAUGAUGCUUUUACCGCUUUGAUAUUAUUUGAACUGUGCAUAUAAACUGUUACGAAACCCUUCUCUUCUUAUCUUCGGGGAUUUGCUCGCUAGUCAAGAAUCCAUAUUCUGUUAGUGUCAUACCUUGAAAUAAGAAAGAGGCUCGAACAAGUCACUAAGCAGGAUGAUCUUUCGGGUCCCCGGUAUGUAGCUCCCUCCUCAACUCGAGUUGCCCGCUCGGGUAAACAAGUGUAGAACAAAUAUCCCAAUUUUUGAACCUAGAAUAACUCAGUCUCAUGCCGGAUCCCUAGUAAGAACGCUUAUUUGCAUCAUGCAUUUGACUUAAAGGACUCAACACAGGGGUUGAAUUCAUCUAGAAUAGGUAUACCCAAAAUAACAUAUGCAUCAUAUGUGCUCCAUAUUGCAUUUAUUCGGUAAAAGUGUAGUCAUUUGGCUGGGUCAAUUAGUGUCCCACAAGCGUGGGGUUGUCUUGUCUUGUCUUUGUCAUGUCGAAAACUUCAACUACUAAUGUUCUUUUCUCUUGUUUACAUCUUGUCCUCAUGCUACUAUUGAUACUACUUUGUUUUUACAGAGGUUAAAAUAUUUUACUUUCUUGUUGCUUCCUUCGUCGAUGCUAUGGC
This 3062-nucleotide long non-coding RNA is filed under the name Nicotiana benthamiana. RNAcentral describes it as "long non-coding RNA (NBEN_LNC035415)". Lineage: Eukaryota; Viridiplantae; Streptophyta; Magnoliopsida; Solanales; Solanaceae. The record is from RNAcentral.